RNAcentral lists this ribosomal RNA (450 nucleotides) under uncultured bacterium. RNAcentral describes it as "bacterial SSU rRNA". It matches the Rfam family "Bacterial small subunit ribosomal RNA", at positions 329 to 795 of the family's 1533-position model. The record is from RNAcentral.
GGCCAGACUCCUACGGGAGGCAGCAGUGGGGGAUAUUGCACAAUGGGGGAAACCCUGAUGCAGCGACGCCGCGUGGGUGAAGAAGUAUUUCGGUAUGUAAAGCCCUAUCAGCAGGGAAGAAAGAAGACGGUACCUGACUAAGAAGCCCCGGCUAACUACGUGCCAGCAGCCGCGGUAAUACGUAGGGGGCGAGCGUUAUCCGGAUUCACUGGGUGUAAAGGGAGCGUAGACGGCCGUGCAAGCCAGGAGUGAAAGCCCGGGGCCCAACCCCGGGACUGCUCUUGGAACUGUGCGGCUGGAGUGCGGGAGGGGCAGGCGGAAUUCCUGGUGUAGCGGUGAAAUGCGUAGAUAUCAGGAGGAACACCGGCGGCGAAGGCGGCCUGCUGGACCGCGACUGACGUUGAGGCUCGAAAGCGUGGGGAGCAAACAGGAUUAGAUACCCGGGUAACA